AAAUUGAAGAGUUUGAUCAUGGCUCAGAUUGAACGCUGGCGGCAGGCUUAACACAUGCAAGUCGAGCGGUAGCACGGGGGAGCUUGCUCCCUGGGUGACGAGCGGCGGACGGGUGAGUAAUGUCUGGGAAACUGCCUGAUGGAGGGGGAUAACUACUGGAAACGGUAGCUAAUACCGCAUAACGUCGCAAGACCAAAGAGGGGGACCUUCGGGCCUCUUGCCAUCAGAUGUGCCCAGAUGGGAUUAGCUAGUAGGUGGGGUAAUGGCUCACCUAGGCGACGAUCCCUAGCUGGUCUGAGAGGAUGACCAGCCACACUGGAACUGAGACACGGUCCAGACUCCUACGGGAGGCAGCAGUGGGGAAUAUUGCACAAUGGGCGCAAGCCUGAUGCAGCCAUGCCGCGUGUGUGAAGAAGGCCUUCGGGUUGUAAAGCACUUUCAGCGAGGAGGAAGGUGGUGAGCCUAAUACGCUCAUCAAUUGACGUUACUCGCAGAAGAAGCACCGGCUAACUCCGUGCCAGCAGCCGCGGUAAUACGGAGGGUGCAAGCGUUAAUCGGAAUUACUGGGCGUAAAGCGCACGCAGGCGGUUUGUUAAGUCAGAUGUGAAAUCCCCGGGCUCAACCUGGGAACUGCAUUUGAAACUGGCAAGCUAGAGUCUCGUAGAGGGGGUAGAAUUCCAGGUGUAGCGGUGAAAUGCGUAGAGAUCUGGAGGAAUACCGGUGGCGAAGGCGGCCCCCUGGACGAAGACUGACGCUCAGGUGCGAAAGCGUGGGAGCAAACAGGAUUAGAUACCCUGGUAGUCCACGCUGUAAACGAUGUCGAUUUGGAGGUUGUGCCCUUGAGGCGUGGCUUCCGGAGCUAACGCGUUAAAUCGACCGCCUGGGGAGUACGGCCGCAAGGUUAAAACUCAAAUGAAUUGACGGGGGCCCGCACAAGCGGUGGAGCAUGUGGUUUAAUUCGAUGCAACGCGAAGAACCUUACCUACUCUUGACAUCCAGAGAACUUUCCAGAGAUGGAUUGGUGCCUUCGGGAACUCUGAGACAGGUGCUGCAUGGCUGUCGUCAGCUCGUGUUGUGAAAUGUUGGGUUAAGUCCCGCAACGAGCGCAACCCUUAUCCUUUGUUGCCAGCGGUUCGGCCGGGAACUCAAAGGAGACUGCCAGUGAUAAACUGGAGGAAGGUGGGGAUGACGUCAAGUCAUCAUGGCCCUUACGAGUAGGGCUACACACGUGCUACAAUGGCAUAUACAAAGAGAAGCGACCUCGCGAGAGCAAGCGGACCUCAUAAAGUAUGUCGUAGUCCGGAUUGGAGUCUGCAACUCGACUCCAUGAAGUCGGAAUCGCUAGUAAUCGUAGAUCAGAAUGCUACGGUGAAUACGUUCCCGGGCCUUGUACACACCGCCCGUCACACCAUGGGAGUGGGUUGCAAAAGAAGUAGGUAGCUUAACCUUCGGGAGGGCGCUUACCACUUUGUGAUUCAUGACUGGGGUGAAGUCGUAACAAGGUAACCGUAGGGGAACCUGCGGUUGGAUCACCUCCUUACCUAAAGA
This 1548-nucleotide ribosomal RNA is filed under the name Serratia sp. FDAARGOS_506. Its description in RNAcentral is "bacterial SSU rRNA". It matches the Rfam family "Bacterial small subunit ribosomal RNA". The record is from RNAcentral. Lineage: Bacteria; Pseudomonadati; Pseudomonadota; Gammaproteobacteria; Enterobacterales; Yersiniaceae.